UACGAAGGGUGCAAGCGUUACUCGGAAUUACUGGGCGUAAAGCGUGCGUAGGCGGUUCGUUAAGUCUGUCGUGAAAGCCCUGGGCUCAACCUGGGAAUUGCGAUGGAUACUGGCGGGCUAGAGUACGGUAGAGGAUGGUGGAAUUCCCGGUGUAGCGGUGAAAUGCGUAGAUAUCGGAAGGAACAUCAAUGGCGAAGGCAGCUUCCUGGCCCAAUACUGACGCUCAGGUGCGAAAGCGUGGGGAUCAAAC
Molecule: ribosomal RNA, 250 nt
Filed under: uncultured bacterium
Lineage: Bacteria
Description: partial 16S ribosomal RNA
Rfam family: Bacterial small subunit ribosomal RNA
Source: RNAcentral